UACGUAGGUGGCAAGCGUUGUCCGGAAUUAUUGGGCGUAAAGCGCGCGCAGGCGGUCCUUUAAGUCUGAUGUGAAAGCCCACGGCUCAACCGUGGAGGGUCAUUGGAAACUGGGGGACUUGAGUGCAGGAGAGAAGAGUGGAAUUCCACGUGUAGCGGUGAAAUGCGUAGAGAUGUGGAGGAACACCAGUGGCGAAGGCGACUCUUUGGCCUGUAACUGACGCUGAGGCGCGAAAGCGUGGGUAGCAAACAGGAUUAGAUACCCUGGUAGUCCACGCCGUAAACGAUGAGUGCUAAGUGUUAGAGGGUUUCCGCCCUUUAGUGCUGCAGUAAACGCAUUAAGCACUCCGCCUGGGGAGUACGGCCGCAAGGCUGAA
This 376-nucleotide ribosomal RNA is filed under the name uncultured bacterium. RNAcentral's name for it is "bacterial SSU rRNA". It matches the Rfam family "Bacterial small subunit ribosomal RNA", at positions 524 to 898 of the family's 1533-position model. The record is from RNAcentral.